GGAAGAGUGGCCGAGUGGUUGAAGGCGCACGCUUGGAAAGCGUGUUCAGGUGUAAACCAUCUGACAAGGGUUCGAAUCCCUUUUCUUCCGCCG
Molecule: transfer RNA, 93 nt
Filed under: Neorickettsia sp. 179522
Lineage: Bacteria; Pseudomonadati; Pseudomonadota; Alphaproteobacteria; Rickettsiales; Anaplasmataceae
Description: tRNA-Ser
Rfam family: tRNA
About the family: Transfer RNA (tRNA) molecules are approximately 80 nucleotides in length. Their secondary structure includes four short double-helical elements and three loops (D, anti-codon, and T loops). Further hydrogen bonds mediate the characteristic L-shaped molecular structure. tRNAs have two regions of fundamental functional importance: the anti-codon, which is responsible for specific mRNA codon recognition, and the 3' end, to which the tRNAs corresponding amino acid is attached (by aminoacyl-tRNA synthetases). tRNAs cope with the degeneracy of the genetic code in two manners: having more than one tRNA (with a specific anti-codon) for a particular amino acid; and 'wobble' base-pairing, i.e. permitting non-standard base-pairing at the 3rd anti-codon position.
Source: RNAcentral